UGAUGACUUCCGCAUCUGUGCUCGUGUUCUUCAAAUACAUGGAAAAUUGCAGUGAGAGCCUUAGGAGGUCCAAGGGAAGAAGGGCAAGUGGUGAGGAGCAGGGAAGAGGAAAUAGAAAGAAAGAAGAUAUGCCGCGCACAGGACCUGAUAACCCCACUGAAUGUAAACUUUACAGGUCUUAACAUGAGCCACGACAAAUAAUGUGAACAAGAAUGAAAAGUGGGUUACGAGACCUACAGGAGGAGGGAAAGAGGGAGAGGGAUGGUGAAGAGGAUAAAAACCAAAAAGAACCAAGCUGUAAUACAUAUAUCUAACCGUUUUCCAAGACAAUUGAUAAUUACAUGAACUACAAACAUGCACAAAUAAAAUAAAAUUUUUUAAAAAGUAAAACAGGAGAGUCUCCUCAGAUGCUGGAAUGGAGACAAGCAGAUUUGACUCCAGGAGCUUCUGCAAGUAUGAAUUUAGUUAAUAUUCAUGUUAAACGUCUAC
This 489-nucleotide long non-coding RNA is filed under the name Fukomys damarensis (Damara mole-rat). RNAcentral's name for it is "lncRNA (ENSFDAG00000026322.1)". Lineage: Eukaryota; Metazoa; Chordata; Mammalia; Rodentia; Bathyergidae. The record is from RNAcentral.